CCUACGGGAGGCUGCAGUGGGGAAUAUUGCACAAUGGAGGAAACUCUGAUGCAGCAACGCCGCGUGGAGGAUGACGCAUUUCGGUGUGUAAACUCCUUUUAUAAGGGAAGAUAAUGACGGUACCUUAUGAAUAAGCACCGGCUAACUCCGUGCCAGCAGCCGCGGUAAUACGGAGGGUGCAAGCGUUACUCGGAAUCACUGGGCGUAAAGGAUGCGUAGGCUGGAAAUCAAGUCGAGAGUGAAAUCCAACGGCUCAACCGUUGAACUGCUCUCGAAACUGAUUACCUAGAAUAUGGGAGAGGUAGAUGGAAUUGGUGGUGUAGGGGUAAAAUCCGUAGAUAUCACCAGGAAUACCGAUUGCGAAGGCGAUCUACUGGAACAUUAUUGACGCUGAGGCAUGAAAGCGUGGGGAGCAAACAGGAUUAGAUACCCUUGUAGUC
Molecule: ribosomal RNA, 440 nt
Filed under: Weissella confusa
Lineage: Bacteria; Bacillati; Bacillota; Bacilli; Lactobacillales; Lactobacillaceae
Description: bacterial SSU rRNA
Rfam family: Bacterial small subunit ribosomal RNA
Source: RNAcentral